RNAcentral lists this ribosomal RNA (600 nucleotides) under uncultured bacterium. RNAcentral's name for it is "bacterial SSU rRNA". It matches the Rfam family "Bacterial small subunit ribosomal RNA", at positions 338 to 950 of the family's 1533-position model. The record is from RNAcentral.
CCUACGGGAGGCAGCAGUAGGGAAUUUUCCACAAUGGGCGAAAGCCUGAUGGAGCAAUACCGCGUGCAGGAUGAAGGCCUUCGGGUCGUAAACUGCUUUUAUGUGCGAAGAAUUUGACGGUAACACAUGAAUAAGGAUCGGCUAACUACGUGCCAGCAGCCGCGGUCAUACGUAGGAUCCAAGCGUUAUCCGGAAUUACUGGGCGUAAAGAGUUGCGUAGGUGGCAUUAUAAGUGGAGCGUGAAAGCGUGCGGCUCAACCGCAUUAUUGCGUUCCAAACUGUGAAGCUUGAGUAUGGGAGAGGUAGAUGGAAUUUCUAGUGUAGGAGUGAAAUCCGUAGAUAUUAGAAGGAACACCGAUGGCGUAGGCAGUCUACUGGCCCAUUACUGACACUAAGGCACGAAAGCGUGGGGAGCAAACGGGAUUAGAUACCCCGGUAGUCCACGCUGUAAACUAUGGAUGCUAGCUGUGACACACAUCGACCUGUGUCGUAGCGAAGUUAACGCGUUAAGCAUCCCGCCUGGGGAGUACGGUGCAAGAAUUAAAACCGUCAAAUUGAAUUGACGGCUUGGNGNGNGCGACGACGACGACGAGGAGGAGG